UCCUGCAGCACCAACUCUGCUCAUGCUUAGCACCUGCAUAUUGUCAUAUCAAGCACCAAAUUAUGGACACUGCAACAGAAUUCAAAGUCUCAGUUCUGUUAAUUGUGAUUUUGUUCAAUUUUUCAGACCGUAUUCGAGUCAACCAUCCACAGAUUGGGAAACUGAAAAUUGAGUUUCAUUACAACCCUAUUUCUGGAGCAAAGAAUAUAAACUGUUAAUGAAAGUUCUCCAUCAUAUACCUUGAUUUGGAGCUGAAGGAAUUUGACAUAUUCAAUGAUUUCAUCUAGCAUGGAUGCCUUGUCAGUCUGAAAAAUCAUGAAUCAUGUCAGCUCUUCUUUAAAUCCAGCCACUAUAAAUUACACUGGCAACUGUUUCAGUGCGAGAUGGAAGAGCUUACCCUGUUAGAAUUCGGCACCAGUUCUUGCAGGUCUUGGAAACAGAGAAUGCAUGAAGAAGCAAAACUUUAUAUGAAUGACACAACUAACCCUUUCAGCAAUACUGUGUGGAUCAGUUGCCUGGCCUCGACGUGCCCUCAUACGAGGCUUUCCAGUUCCAGUACAUUCAGCAGAGGGGGUAGUUGAUGUAGCCUGUAAGUGAAAAUUGUAAGUUCAUUUUUUUACAAUGCUUGAUAGAAUUAGGAUUUCCUUCUCAAAAGUAUCCAAGAGAACAGUGGAGCUAGGAUAAGUACCUGCUGUAAA
Molecule: long non-coding RNA, 698 nt
Organism: Prunus dulcis (almond)
Lineage: Eukaryota; Viridiplantae; Streptophyta; Magnoliopsida; Rosales; Rosaceae
Exons: 2
Source: RefSeq, a predicted model, not a curated record